UACGAAGGGGGCUAGCGUUGCUCGGAAUCACUGGGCGUAAAGCGCACGUAGGCGGCUUUCUAAGUCAGGGGUGAAAUCCUGGAGCUCAACUCCAGAACUGCCUUUGAUACUGGAGAGCUAGAGUCCGGAAGAGGUGAGUGGAACUGCGAGUGUAGAGGUGAAAUUCGUAGAUAUUCGCAAGAACACCAGUGGCGAAGGCGGCUCACUGGUCCGGUACUGACGCUGAGGUGCGGAAAGCGUGGGAGCAACAGGG
This 253-nucleotide ribosomal RNA is filed under the name uncultured bacterium. RNAcentral describes it as "partial 16S ribosomal RNA". It matches the Rfam family "Bacterial small subunit ribosomal RNA", at positions 524 to 776 of the family's 1533-position model. The record is from RNAcentral.